This 253-nucleotide ribosomal RNA is filed under the name uncultured bacterium. RNAcentral describes it as "partial 16S ribosomal RNA". It matches the Rfam family "Bacterial small subunit ribosomal RNA", at positions 524 to 776 of the family's 1533-position model. The record is from RNAcentral.
GACGAAGGGGGCUAGCGUUGUUCGGAAUUACUGGGCGUAAAGCGCGUGUAGGUGGUUGUCCAAGUUGGAUGUGAAAGCCUUGAGCUCAACUCAAGAAAUGCAUUCAGGACUGGGCGGCUAGAGGACCGGAGAGGAUAGUGGAAUUCCCAGUGUAGUGGUGAAAUACGUAGAGAUUGGGAAGAACACCUGAGGUGAAGACGGGUUGCUGGGCUGACACUGACGCUGAGGCGCGAAAGCUAGGGUAGCAAACGGG